This 24-nucleotide non-coding RNA is filed under the name Arabidopsis thaliana (thale cress). Lineage: Eukaryota; Viridiplantae; Streptophyta; Magnoliopsida; Brassicales; Brassicaceae. The record is from RNAcentral.
ACCACCGAUGGUGAACCGCUGCCA